GAUGAACGCUGGCGGCGUGCCUAAUACAUGCAAGUCGAGCGGACAAAGGAGGAGCUUGCUCCUCUUCCGCUGCGGGCGGGUGGGUGAUGAACACGAGUAUAACCUGCCUAUAGGGAUGGGAUAACUUAGGGAACCCGGAUCUAAUACCGGAUAAUAUAUUGAACCGCAUGGUUCAUUGGUCCAAGCGCUUUUUGCUGUCACUAAUACAGGUUUCCUGGCCGGAUUAGCUAGUUGGUAAGGUAACGGCUUACCAAGGCAACGAUGCGUAGCCGAUCUGAGAGGAUGAUCAGCCACACUGGAACUGAGACACGGUCCAGACUCCUACGGGAGGCAGCAGUAGGGAAUCUUCCACAAUGGGCGAAAGCCUGAUGGAGCAACGCCGCGUGAGUGAAGAAGGUCUUCGGAUCGUAAAGCUCUGUUAGUAGGGAAGAACGAAUGUGAGAGAAUCUAUGCACGUCUUGACGUUACCUAAAGAGAAAGCCCCGGCUAACUACGUG
This 497-nucleotide ribosomal RNA is filed under the name uncultured bacterium. RNAcentral describes it as "partial 16S ribosomal RNA". It matches the Rfam family "Bacterial small subunit ribosomal RNA", at positions 28 to 507 of the family's 1533-position model. The record is from RNAcentral.